Molecule: long non-coding RNA, 209 nt
Filed under: Lathyrus oleraceus (garden pea)
Lineage: Eukaryota; Viridiplantae; Streptophyta; Magnoliopsida; Fabales; Fabaceae
Description: Pisum sativum (pea) long non-coding RNA (PSAT_LNC025199)
Source: RNAcentral
AAAAGUUUUAACAUAGGUGGCCAUUGGAACCACAAAAAUCACUUGAAGUGAGUUGAAUUUACAAAUUAGAAGUAUUUACAAAAUGAAGUCAAAGUUGACUUAAGGUUCAUUUGAAAUAAGUAUUAAUGAAAAGGGUUUGAAAAAUCAAAGGCAUAUGGCCUAGGUUUCUAAUUUGAAAACAAUGUCAAUGUUUGCACAAAAUGAGUUUG